Melospiza melodia melodia is the source of this 475-nucleotide long non-coding RNA. RefSeq lists it as uncharacterized. The record is from RefSeq and is a predicted model, not a curated record. NCBI's taxonomy places the organism in Eukaryota, Metazoa, Chordata, Aves, Passeriformes, Passerellidae. The transcript is spliced from 2 exons.
AGCUUGGGCUGCCCGUGGUCCGAAGUCCAUGGAAGUGUCCCUGCCCUGGACCCACAGGAUCUUUAAGGUCCUUUCCACCCCAAAUCACUGUGGGAUGAUUCAAUAAACACCGAGAGCUGGAGGGUGAGGAUGGGGUACCCUGGAUGAGCUGGGAAUGCUGUGGCUGCCUGGAAGAGUCUGCCAAACCCUGGAUCGGCUGGGAUAACCCAGGCCUAGAACCAAGGACGCCGCUGCAGCUUCAGGCCCAAAAAGUGCAAACAACAGCGAAUUGAGGAGAGCAAUCGGGAGGAUGGGGCUGCAUAACCUGGAGCUGGAAUUGGACAAUUAACACCAAUAUGGAAAUGGAUCAAAACGUAUAAAAGUGUGAAAACGUGUGACCUGGAGUCCAACUCGGGUGUAGCCACGGCCAGGCCCUUGCACUGCCCAAGGUGUAUCCUGUGAAGGCCUUUAAUAAAUCCCUGCUUUAUUCCUUGAA